This 253-nucleotide ribosomal RNA is filed under the name uncultured bacterium. RNAcentral describes it as "partial 16S ribosomal RNA". It matches the Rfam family "Bacterial small subunit ribosomal RNA", at positions 524 to 776 of the family's 1533-position model. The record is from RNAcentral.
UACGUAGGAUCCAAGCGUUGUCCGGAUUUACUGGGUUUAAAGGGAGCGUAGGCGGAUCUUUAAGUCAGUGGUGAAAGCUCUCAGCUUAACUGGGAAACUGCCAUUGAAACUGAAGAUCUCGAGUAUGGUUGAGGUUACUGGAAUGUUGCAUGUAGCGGUGAAAUGCUUAGAUAUGCAACAGAACACCAAUUGCGAAGGCAGGUAACUAAGCCAUAACUGACGCUGAGGCUCGAAAGCGUGGGGAGCAAACAGG